Molecule: ribosomal RNA, 606 nt
Filed under: uncultured bacterium
Lineage: Bacteria
Description: bacterial SSU rRNA
Rfam family: Bacterial small subunit ribosomal RNA
Source: RNAcentral
UCAGGACGAACGCUGGCGGCGUGCUUAACACAUGCAAGUCGAACGGCCCGCCCUGACUGAAUCCUUCGGGAUGAAGACAGGAUCCGGGCAGUGGCGGACGGGUGAGUAACGCGUGGAGAACCUGUCUUCCAGUCCGGGAUAACCUGGCGAAAGCCGGACUAAUCCCGGAUAGACUAAUAGCUGAGCAUUCAGCUAAUAGGAAAGGUGGUGUAAGCCAUCGCUGGGAGGUGGCUCCGCGUCGGAUUAGCUAGCUGGUGAGGUAACGGCUCACCAGGGCGACGAUCCGUAGCUGGUCUGAGAGGACGAUCAGCCACACUGGGACUGAGACACGGCCCAGACUCCUACGGGAGGCAGCAGUGGGGAAUCUUCCGCAAUGGGCGAAAGCCUGACGGAGCAACGCCGCGUGAGUGAAGAAGGCCUUCGGGUCGUAAAGCUCUGUCCUCAGGGAAGAAACCUUAAGGGAGGCAAUGCCCUUAAGCUGACGGUACCUGAGGAGGAAGCCCUGGCUAACUACGUGCCAGCAGCCGCGGUAAUACGUAGAGGGCAAGCGUUGUCCGGAAUUACUGGGCGUAAAGGGUACGCAGGUGGAUUAGUAAGUCAAAUGUG